AUUGAACGCUGGCGGCAGGCCUAACACAUGCAAGUCGAACGGUAGCACAGAGAGCUUGCUCUCGGGUGACGAGUGGCGGACGGGUGAGUAAUGUCUGGGAAACUGCCCGAUGGAGGGGGAUAACUACUGGAAACGGUAGCUAAUACCGCAUAACGUCGCAAGACCAAAGUGGGGGACCUUCGGGCCUCACACCAUCGGAUGUGCCCGGAUGGGAUUAGCUAGUAGGUGGGGUAAUGGCUCACCUAGGCGACGAUCCCUAGCUGGUCUGAGAGGAUGACCAGCCACACUGGAACUGAGACACGGGCCAGACUCCUACGGGAGGCAGCAGUGGGGAAUAUUGCACAAUGGGCGCAAGCCUGAUGCAGCCGUGCCGCGUGUAUGAAGAAGGCCUUCGGGUUGUAAAGUACUUUCAGCGGGGAGGAAGGCGGUGAAGUUAAUAGCUUCACCGAUUGACGUUACCCGCAGAAGAAGCACCGGCUAACUCCGUGCCAGCCGCCGCGGUAA
This 504-nucleotide ribosomal RNA is filed under the name uncultured bacterium. Its description in RNAcentral is "partial 16S ribosomal RNA". It matches the Rfam family "Bacterial small subunit ribosomal RNA", at positions 29 to 523 of the family's 1533-position model. The record is from RNAcentral.